RNAcentral lists this small nuclear RNA (107 nucleotides) under Bison bison bison. Lineage: Eukaryota; Metazoa; Chordata; Mammalia; Artiodactyla; Bovidae. The record is from RNAcentral.
GUGCUCACUUUGGCAGCACAUAUACUUAAAUUGGAAUGAUACAAAGAAGAUUAGCAUGGCCCCUGCUCAAGGAUGACAUGCAAAUUGGUGAAGCAUUUCAUGUUUUA